GAUGAAGAACGUAGCAAAAUGCGAUAAGUAAUGUGAAUUGCAGAAUUCAGUGAAUCAUCGAAUCUUUGAACGCACAUUGCGCCCGCCAGUAUUCUGGCGGGCAUGCCUGUUCGAGCGUCAUUUCAACCAUCAAGCCCCAGGCUUGUGUUGGGGACCUGCGGCUGCCGCAGGCCCUGAAAACCAGUGGCGGGCUCGCUAGUCACACCGAGCGUAGUAGCAUACACAUCGCUCAGGGCGUGCUGCGGGUUCCGGCCGUUAAAAAGCCUUAUUUACCCAAGGUUGACCUCGGAUCAGGUAGGAAGACCCGCUGAACUUAAGCAUAUCAAUAAGCGGAGGA
Molecule: unclassified non-coding RNA, 337 nt
Filed under: soil metagenome
Description: partial contains 5.8S ribosomal RNA, internal transcribed spacer 2, and large subunit ribosomal RNA
Rfam family: 5.8S ribosomal RNA (bases 1-120)
Source: RNAcentral